Molecule: non-coding RNA, 73 nt
Organism: Paramuricea clavata
Lineage: Eukaryota; Metazoa; Cnidaria; Anthozoa; Malacalcyonacea; Plexauridae
Source: the annotation of a GenBank genome assembly
GCCUCUGUAGCUCAGUUGAUUAUAGCGCUGCACCGGAAUCGCAGGGCCGUAGGUUCAAUUCCUACCAGAGGAC